RNAcentral lists this ribosomal RNA (632 nucleotides) under uncultured bacterium. RNAcentral describes it as "bacterial SSU rRNA". It matches the Rfam family "Bacterial small subunit ribosomal RNA", at positions 876 to 1500 of the family's 1533-position model. The record is from RNAcentral.
GGGAGNACGNUCGNCAAGGCUGAAACUCAAAGGAAUNGACCGGGGGCCCGCAACAANCGGUGGAGCCAUGUGGUUCAAUUCGACGCAACGCGAAGAACCUUACCCAGGCUUGAACAGCGAGUGACAUUCGGCGAAAGCCGGCUUCCGAAAGGACACUNGUAGAGGUGCUGCCAUGGCUGUCGUCAGCUCGUGUCGUGAGAUGUUGGGUUAAGUCCCGCAACGAGCGCAACCCUUGUCCUCUGUUGCCAUCAGGUUAUGCUGGGCACUCUGAGGAGACUGCCGGUGAUAAACCGGAGGAAGGUGGGGAUGACGUCAAGUCAGCAUGGCCUUUAUGUCUGGGGCUACACACGUGCUACAAUGGCCGAUACAAACCGUCGCGAUGCCGCAAGGUGGAGCUAAUCGGAGAAAGUCGGUCUCAGUUCGGAUUGCAGGCUGCAACUCGCCUGCAUGAAGUUGGAAUCGCUAGUAAUCGCGGAUCAGCACGCCGCGGUGAAUACGUUCCCGGGCCUUGUACACACCGCCCGUCACAUCACGAAAGCUGGCUGUACUAGAAGUCGCCGCGCUAACCCGCAAGGGAUGGUAAGCGCCUAAGGUAUGGUUAGUGAUUGGGGUGAAGUCGUAANCAAGGUAUC